GAAAUACUCCCUCCGUCCGGAAUUACUUGUCGUGAAAAUGGAUGUAUCUAGAACUAAAAUACGUCUAGAUACAUCCAUUUCUGCGACAAGUAAUUCCGAACGGAGGGAGUGCGAC
Triticum aestivum (bread wheat) is the source of this 115-nucleotide non-coding RNA. The record is from Rfam. NCBI's taxonomy places the organism in Eukaryota, Viridiplantae, Streptophyta, Magnoliopsida, Poales, Poaceae.